Non-coding RNA from Onthophagus taurus, 2464 nucleotides. Lineage: Eukaryota; Metazoa; Arthropoda; Insecta; Coleoptera; Scarabaeidae. The record is from RefSeq and is a predicted model, not a curated record.
UCUCGUGACACAAAAAAAUCGAUCCGCGCAUGUUAAUAAUUUAAAUGAUAGUUAGAGCUUCAAAUUCAUAUAAAAUUAACUUGAAGAGUGCACGUGGAAUAACUACACAGUGGUUCAUGUGUCAAGGUUAAUUAGCCCUGAUUUGGAGCAAUUUUAGCAAAGUAAUGCGAACAUGCAAAAGUUGUUGUCUGUUAUAAUAAUACAUAAAUAAAUGAAAUAAAAAAUUAUUUAUUAUUAUUACUGUUACAAUAAUUGUUUUUAUAAGGACAUUUACAAACAGGUGGAUGUAAAGUGGAACGAAUAAAAUUACCACCGGCGAUUGUAAACAAGAAAUGAGGCAUGCAAGACGGUAAUUGAACGCGAUCUUAACAAAAGGUUUGUAAUCGUCACAAGUUGGUUGAAUAAACGAAAGAGGCUGGAAUUGAUGAGUCACUGCCGCAAUGACCUAGAAUGCCCGGGAAGGACUGGCAGUAGGUAUUAUUUUUUCCAAAAGACGUCCGGUGACCCGGUUUCGUGUAAUAUUCGGUGUUAUAUACCGAACAGUCCAGAUCGGCGACGACGAAGAACGGUAAAACGAAUGAAAAAGUUCUAGAAGACAACGGAUGUGCGAGUAGGACGCAAAUUAGACGACAAGAAGUGCGUUAAACUGUAACUGAGGAGAAAUCGAGUUAGAAUAUCCGGGGAAAACCAAAAUUGAAAAAAAAAACAAAGAAGCGUAAUUAAUUUAAUUUAUGUUCUUCAUUAUGCGGCAAAAUAAUACAAUGAGAGACCCUGUUUUGGAAAUAUUCGCAACUAUACUUCUAUUAUACUUCACCAAAAUAUAAAUUUCGGGCUAAUUGAUACUUGAAAACGGAAAAAAUGUUACUUAUUAUUUUCAAGGUGGCGGAAAAAGUAACAAAUUUUUCUGAGAGGAAUUUUAUUACAGAGCAUCAAAAAUCUAAGUCCAUUAAAUUUAUUUUUAAUUCUUGCAAUAGUAAUAUGGAAUAAUUACAUAUUAUGCGUUUAGUUCUGGUUAAAGACUAGUCAGAGGUAUCCUUGAAUUGCCUUCUUGAGGAAACUUACAAGGAAUUUGCGGAUCGCAAUACCCAUAAAAAUAAUUUAAUAGUGUUGGCAACUGACAUAGAAGUUGUUACAGCAAUAAAUAUUGCUAAAUGCAUUAUUCAUUCCACAUUUAAUAUUACCUUUAAAGUGACCAAGCGUCAACAAAACGAAUAAAUAUCCGUGUUUUUACGAACAAGGUUGUGACAAAAUUUUCAUGCUUGUUAAAUACCAUAAUCAGUUCAAACUACAAUUGAAAUAGAGUACUCCUGGUGAUGCGUUUUACUUCAGAAUACGUUUCCACCCAGUUAUAUAAUUCAUUGAGCUAUUCACCAGACACAUGUCCUGCUACAUUCUUUAUGUUCAUCUUGUAAUGAUGAUAUGCUUAUGCCAAAAACUUGGUUGUUUGAAGAUGUGUCUGAGGAGAUGCGAUUAUGUAAUGUUUAAGAAAAAUCGUAACUAUCUCUCCGAUUUGAUUAAUGCCGUGCCAAUGAUGAAUGUGGUGGGUGUCCAAAAUUUAUAAACAAAGUUCAAACCGAAAGGUUGCUCGGAUCAUAAGUGGCCAGCGUGGUUUGCUAAUAAGGUGAAGAGCUCUUAUCGAAAUAAAUUAUUGCUAAUGCUUAAAUCUCAUAUGCGAGCUCAUUAGAAGAAGUCUUUAAGGAGUUUUUGCUAUUACAUGUUCAUGAAAGCGACCGGAUUGCUGGCCUUUUGAGAAGAGACAACUUGGAAUUCAGCACAGAUCAAAGCAUCGUGUAUGCUUUUGCAGAAUAUCAUGGACGUAUUUACAUUCAAUCAAAACCUGUAGACAAGAAUGUUACCACAUCCAAUCAUAACCCACAUUUAUCUAUUGAAUGUUUCAGUUUAGAGGAUAUGGUGAAUAUGAAGCACUAGGAAAGAGUAAAGUAAACACCAAUGGAAUAACAAUAAUACCCUGGUGUACACGGAAGUUAAAGAACUGGCUAAGAAGAAAAGGAACGCAUAUAUAAAAUAUAGGAGAAAUUAUAGAAAGACACUGGAAAAUUUUCACGAAGAACAUGCAAACUGAUUGGCACAGGGAGCAGAGGAAUGUUUGAAAAAGGAUUCAAAAUCAGAAAAGAGAUGUGAAUGAAUACUUUCAGAUUAACAGCAUAUCGAGAGAAACACUUUGCAUGACUAAAAAUAUAUAACGAUACCCCACAAUAACUAUAUAACCAGGGAGGAGAUAUAUGAAGCCUUAACCAAAUUAAAAAACCGGAGAGAGAGAGAGAUGCGGCAUACAGAAUAUUGGCAAGUGGGUUAGGAAAAGGAAGCGCCAAUGCAGUCGACAUGUGGACAGAAUAACGGAAGACUGAAUAGCUGAAGUAUGCAAACGCAGUCGACCUGUGGGGAAAAGGACAGCAGGAAAGCCACUGAAAAGAAAUAACGUAAUCCUAAACUAAGAAAAAGA